This 396-nucleotide ribosomal RNA is filed under the name uncultured bacterium. RNAcentral's name for it is "bacterial SSU rRNA". It matches the Rfam family "Bacterial small subunit ribosomal RNA", at positions 29 to 426 of the family's 1533-position model. The record is from RNAcentral.
AUUGAACGCUGGCGGAAUGCUUUACACAUGCAAGUCGAGCGGCAGCGCGGGGGCAACCCUGGCGGCGAGCGGCGAACGGGUGAGUAAUACAUCGGAACGUGUCCUUAAGUGGGGGAUAGCUCGGCGAAAGCCGGAUUAAUACCGCAUAAGCUCUGAGGAGGAAAGCGGGGGCUCCGUAAGGACCUCGCGCUGUUGGAGCGGCCGAUGUCGGAUUAGCUAGUUGGUGGGGUAAAGGCCCACCAAGGCGACGAUCCGUAGCUGGUCUGAGAGGAUGAUCAGCCACACUGGAACUGAGACACGGUCCAGACUCCUACGGGAGGCAGCAGUGGGGAAUUUUGGACAAUGGGGGCAACCCUGAUCCAGCCAUUCCGCGUGAGUGAAGAAGGCCUCGGUUGU